This 228-nucleotide ribosomal RNA is filed under the name uncultured bacterium. Its description in RNAcentral is "partial 16S ribosomal RNA". It matches the Rfam family "Bacterial small subunit ribosomal RNA", at positions 15 to 236 of the family's 1533-position model. The record is from RNAcentral.
GAUCAUGGCUCGGGAUGAACGCUAGCUACAGGCUUAACACAUGCAAGUCGAGGGGCAGCAUGUUGGUUGCUUGCAACCGAUGAUGGCGACCGGCGCACGGGUGAGUAACGCGUAUCCAACCUACCCUUGUCCAUCGGAUAACCCGUCGAAAGGCGGCCUAACACGAUAUGCGGUUCACAGCAGGCAUCUAACGUGAACGAAAUGCGAAUGAGAAGGAUGGGGAUGCGU